ACACACACUAUGCUGUAAUAAUAUAUUAAUAAUGAAAGAAAAACAACCUUACCUUAGCUUGCUUCUUCUGUUGAAUGGUAGCUUAGCUUUAAUAUUUCAGCAGCCACAUGAUGAGUAUCCUUGAAGAUUGUUCGUUGAUGGCAUCAUGACAUGCGUGAAUAAUGCUUAAUUACACCGAGCAAGAAGAAAAAUAUAUGUUACACAUCAAAUUGCUGAUUAAUUAUGUUGUUAUCUAUAAAAUUAAUCCAUUAAAAAAGCACUAUAUUACUAUGGAUCUUUUAUUAUAUGUGUCAAA
Arachis ipaensis is the source of this 295-nucleotide non-coding RNA. The record is from RefSeq and is a predicted model, not a curated record. NCBI's taxonomy places the organism in Eukaryota, Viridiplantae, Streptophyta, Magnoliopsida, Fabales, Fabaceae.